Long non-coding RNA from Bombus huntii, 6437 nucleotides. RefSeq lists it as uncharacterized. The transcript has 2 exons. The record is from RefSeq and is a predicted model, not a curated record. Lineage: Eukaryota; Metazoa; Arthropoda; Insecta; Hymenoptera; Apidae.
CAAUAUAUUCAUUUUGUUGAUACAAGAUAUUAACGUAAUAUUAGAUCUGUUGUUUUAAUGAUUUUAGAAAUAACAGGUAUAUUUAUACAUCUUCACCUAACACUUGUACUUUUUUUCUCCUUAAUAAAAGUAUAGUAGACUGUGUCAUCUUCUAAAAAUUCGCAGUCUAGUGAUCAUUUAUAGGGAAUAAUGUAAAUGUCGGAAGCGGUAGUAUUUAGAAUCGUCGAAUUUAGUAUUUCGAAAUUUAGAAGAAUCGAUGGUGUGCAGGAUGUGUGAGAAAAAUAUCGAGCCCUCAACGGGAGAAUUCGCUCCCCAUAUGGAAACAUUAAGUGCUGGCUCUUGUACAGGACUUGUUCGUUAGGUGACCGUGGUGCGAUCCUGGGGUUGCUAAGCACAUUAUGCUAACCCUGUGACAGCAGACGAUGCAUUAGCCCCGGGAUUCGGAGUUAAAGCGAAACGAAAAGUAAUGUAUGUAAGGCCGUUUGUCAAGAUUCCGAAAUAAAUUGUUUUGCUUUGUUUAAACUUACUUGAUAAAGGUUCCGGCUUAAACGCUGUCAGUGAUUAAUCCCCCUGUAUACCGCGAAAUUUCCGAAUUUUUCACGUUACGAAAUCCAUUUUUUAAUAUUUAUUAAACUAUGUUUAACCUGCUUUUAUAACAGUAAAAGGAAAAAAGGAUUGAAAUUUAUUUGUUUAAUAAAUUAGGAAUUUUUAAAAUUUAUUCAGGUAGUUGGCGAAUAGUGAUUAAAAAAUGUAGGAAUUUAUUUAAUAUGUUUCUUUAACUUAUAUAAACUGAUUUUAUAUAUGUUUAAGUAAAUAGGUAAAGUACGAUCAACAAAUAAAGUAUGUCAUUUGUUUGUAUAAUUUUAAUUAUUAGAAAAGAUUUGUUAUCAUAUAAAAAAAAAAACUCCGAUGAAAUGGAACGAAGAAGAAGUGCAAGUGGAAUAAAAAGAUUGAAAGGACGUACGUCGAUAGGAUUACAUCAUGAAAUAAAUAUAAGGGAUGCAGAUGUAACGUAGCAGAAAGUCUAUUUGAGCUCGAGUCUAUGAUUAUAGACAGGCUUCCUGAUAAAUUCAUGAGAUGCUCAUUAAAUCCCUUUAUAUUCUCUUUGCUAGUCCCUUUCUGUCAUCGACUUAUGGAACAAUGCUUCAAGCGCUGAUUCUAUUCAAUGGAAUCAAAUUGUCAGAUAGAAACUUUACUUAAUUACGUUUCAACUUCUAUCACGAUUUGCUUUUCAUUAUUAUGAUAAUUACACGUUAAAUGCAAGUGUAAUUACAACAUAAUCUCUCGUAAAUACACACUUUUUAUGUUAAUACGUAAAUAAAGACACGAUAAAUUAAGGAAUUAGAAUUAACUCCUGUUCAAUGGUGAACAGUUUUUGAAAAUGAAAACAACCAAAUUUGUCGAAAGUGUGAUUCAAAAUUAAAAAAUUUACUUUUCGAAUUUUCAUUUCAUUAAAGAUUAAUAUAUAAAUACAAAAAUGCGUAACAGAUAAUUGUUGAAACGGUUAGAAACAAAAAAGAAAAAUACGUAGAAGUUCGAGUAUAUCGAAUCUGAUCGACUAUUCAGUCAUAUUCCAGUAGUAUUGAAUUACUAGUAAGAGAAAGUAAGCAAUCAAGCUUUAAAUUAACGCAACCCGCGACUGAAAGCAUCGAAUUUAACGCUCUAGAUUUCGAUAGUCAAACGUACCUUUGACAUCAAGAUCCCGUUAAAUUGAUCUGAUCCACCAUACAUUAAUUACAUGCUGGGUCCUGACAAUUAAACGGUCCCAGAGUUCAUUAACUAAAUGGAUCAACUCCAAGGCCCCAUUCCGCGAACCGAAUGAUUCACAAACUCUAUGGUUAAAAUCAUUUUAUAUCAGGCCUUUUACGUUAGCCAUCAAGUGCACGAUCUUUCUCUUUAUAUCGUAAUAAUAUUCUUUGAAAUUACCAAUUUAUGUGUUAGAGAUUGGCAAAGUAAAUAGUACUUUAAGAAAUCUUAAAGUAUUAUUUAAAAUUUCUUUCGUAUUCUUUUAUUUCUGAAAAGACGCAAGGACGUUUUUCUAUACAGGGAGCAUCGUAAUUAACAUGGUGAUAGCAUAAUAACACGACAACAUAUUUUGAAUCGUUCAAGCUAUUUUUCUAUGAGUUUGACGUAUAUGAAUCGACAAUUUUAAAAGUUCUCGUUUUAUAUCUUGGAAAGAUCGUACGUUUAGGUCUUAAGUUUCUUUUCUUAUCAAAGUUAAAUUAUUCUAAACAAAAGUUUAUCAUACUAAACCAAAAAUGAUAAUACAGAUUGAAUAAAUAGAAUAAAUUUUUUCAAUUAUUUUCUAUCACUAUAUAAUGAUGUGAUGUAAUGAAUAUGAAUAAAGAUCGUGUAUUUAACGGUAAGCUAAUAUCUCUGUAACAAACAGGAUCUAGAAUCGACGAUUCAAUGCCAGAGACACGAGCUGAUGACAAUCACCUCUGAAUAAAUCGCGCGGUCGAAGGCAGUAGAAGAGAGUUUUCAGAGUCACGCGUCGCGGAAGGCUGGUGAGGAUUCCGGAAUGGUUUACGGGAGGAUCGAUUGGGAAGAGGAACGAUAGAGAGAAGGGAGAACGUCGCCGGCGUGGCCGCGUACUGCGUUAACUGGGUAGUUACCGAGCCUCGACACCACCCCUAUUCCGGUAAGUGUAAUAGCGUCACGGAAAUAUUACCCUUUUGUGGAGAGAGAAACGCGGCGACUCCCUCCUCUCUUCUGCCCAUUUGCAACGAUGCUCCUCUCUCCCUCUGAUAAAAUCGCCCGGAGGUAUUUACGACGACGAUGCACAAUCUGCUCGCGAAUAAACGGCCGUUGUGUACUUUUAACGAUGUAACCGAGCCGCGUUCCACGGGUACAUACGUGACUGCUGUCGCUGCUGGCGCCGCGGUUGGCGUAGCUGGUGCGAGUGUCGUACACGCUGCGGCUAUGAUUAUCGCUGGAAAAACGGAACCGCGAUUUUUUAACUUAUCGUUAGCCGUUUUAUGUGCUAUCGGUUCGAUUUUUUGAAAGUUACGCGCCGCGAAUUAUUGACAGCACAUGAUUCUGUGAAAAGUUUGACAGCAUUGGAAAGCGUUGAGUGACGUUUCAAAGUAUUGAAAAACAUUCGUAGAGUGAGUUGGUUUGUAGAUUGGACAGUUAAUUGUAAAAAUUGCCAGUAGAAAUUUGUAAAACUCCACUUUUCCUGAAGAUCCUAAAUGUUUACAGAACCGCACUCAUCGAAUCAUUUAUCUAACAAAAUAGCAAAUAGCUAUCGAAACUUUAAACUCUACGUUCAAAAUUCACACUCGAAUAUUGUAAGCGUUUUUCAGUUAUCCAUACCGAAGCCAAGUCUGCAUUUCUGACGAUGGAAGUCGAAGAACAAGAAAUAGAGAGUGUACCUGUUGCCUCGGGCUGGUGGGUGGUAGGUUUGCCCUCGCGAUUUUGACAAAAUGACUUCACCCUGGCAAAGAACGACCGACAAACGCGGACCCAUCCAUCGAAAGGCACACACAGCAGGAAGAAAGAGACGGAAAACGAAACGUGGCGGCACGUAAGUAAACCUCAUAAGUAAUCUCGCCGGCAGCGCUUCUUCGAUUUGAAUUACCCUUCUGUUAUUUCUUCGGCCGUCGUCGGGCGUUAUCAGAAAUCCGCUCGCUCGUCGGAUUAGCAUGUCUGAGGUAGCGACCAUCAAUUUCAAUAUCCACUCGAUAAAUAUUCCUUUGGAAGCCGACUUCUUUCCUCUGCACCGAUCACCCAUCCCCCGCUCGACCAGCUCUUUCCCCCUCUUUUGGAGCCAAGAGAUCCGUAGGAUUCGAUGGAGCAACGAGCUCGAUAGACGGGUCGCAGACUGGCUUUAGAUAAUAUCCUUCCCAAUCUCUGCACGAGACUUUGCAACGAUAUUUUGCUUGGAAAGUUCAACCGGUGUAGCCAUAUAAUGUCAGGUGAAAGGUAGAGGUCAGACAAGAGCCAACUGAUCUGGAACAGGACUGACUAAGGGGAUUUAUGCGCGCGAAUGUAUAUGUUAUUGUAUCGUUCAUUUGUCGUAACAAUGACACAAUCCAAAAAUCACGAUUUUUCUUUUAAUUCGUGUAACCUAAUUGGUCAGAAGCAUUCAUAGGCUUAGUUUAACUCAAUUCUAUCCAUCUUAAUACGUAUACACUAUACACAUAGUCUUCUUAUAUUUUACCAAUACACAAUACAUUGAAUAUUUCUAAUAUAUGGCUGUUAUAAUGGUAUAUUAUGUGUGUAUUGUACACAAUACUACUCGGUUUGACCGCCACUGUUAUAGGGUAUAGAAUUAAAAGAAAUCGAAUGGUUAACUUUGAAACUAACAAACCGUUAAAACAACCCAUUAAAAUGGCAGAUUACAAAUUACUUUUUUUUAGCCUUAGUUCAUUCCAAGAAAACGUCUCGAGAUUUGAGAAGCAAGUCCAGUCUAAAAUUGUUAUUUUGUUACAAAUUAGUACUCAAUUUCUCCUAUAUACUUCGCCCUUCUAAUUUCUAUUUGGUCAAGCACCGUGCUGUUCCACAUUUCCCCGCGGUGGUUGUACAAGCAUAGGCAUAAGUAACGAAGAAAUCUUCGAAACUUUUCCUUUGGUAGAUUCUCUGAAACUGUACUUUGACGUAACGAAAAAGAGAAGCCUAAGACAGAGAGGAGAGGCUUUGGCGAAGAGAACUGCGAAGAGAAAAGAAAAGAGAAAGGAGAGGAAAAAAGGGACGGAAGAUCAAGGUAAUAUUAAUAAGUAGAAGGAAAAGUUGGUUUGAUCAGCUAAUCCGAACUCGUCCGGCACUAGACCACAUCAGAGAAGGGCUCGAAGCGCCGAAGCUAUUAGCAUAAUUACAAUACUUCUGUGUCUGGCCCGAUCCAACUUUCUGCUUAUUUUAAGCUACAGAGCCCUGAUAUCUCUACCGUGAUGGGAUUGCGGACGAAUCCAUUACGCUGAUGUAAUGUUAAAAGGCCAAAUCAUUGGGAUGAAUGUUUUGACAAGCCGUCAUUGAUUCCAGAAUUCUUGCUCCGGGUUUAAUUGAACAACGUAUUUCCAGUUUUUACAACCAUCUAUCCACGUAACGUGCAAUUGCAACAAGUCAUUCCCACACAAUGGCCAAGCCUGUCUAUUGUACCGUGCUUCAAGUAAUUGGAUAAUUGCUGCAUUUCAAAUGUUUUAUCGUUUGAUCGUUAAUUAUGAUUAGACAAUGAGUUAUGGAAUAAUUGUGCAUUUGUGACGAUGACAAUGACAAAUACAUUUUUGUUAAUUUUCUUAUUUGAAUGUCCUUUUGUGAUUAAAUGUAAAUCUUCGUGAAGAUCGUGCAAAUAAUUCUUAUAAAAAUUUCGUAUAACAAGUAUCGUACAAGGAAAAUGAUCAAAUUGAAACAUCAAACAGAAUAGCUUGCAAAUGAUUAAUAAAUUAUCUCUUAUCUUCUAUACAUCGUAGAACACAAAUCUAACUUCCCCGCGUAUAGAAUUAAUAAUGAAAACGAAAUUCGAAAGCCAGAAAGAACUAAACAAUUAGGUGAGUAUUUCAUUUCAAAAGACACGCGGGUUUUAAAAGUGUUAAAAAGUAAUUUUUGAGUUUCAUUGUUCGUAUUGCUUGUAUUUUUAAUGACGAAAGAUUCGUGUACAUCUUUGCACCCUAUGAUCUAUUACGCAUGAUAAAGUGCUGUUUGGGAUCACAAGGGUGUAAAGCUGAAUCAGCCAUGAUCAACAGACCGAGACGCCCUUCUAACUCGCUUAUGUUCUUGCCAGAAAUAAAUCUCAUUCGCGACGGUGUACGUAGAUUGUCACUCUUUCGAUUGAAUCUAGGGAAAAAGAUUCUGUAUUAUAUGUAGCUACGAAAAUCAAUAUUUCUACGAUUAUAUGUAUCUGUCAGUGGUUUAAUCUAUUUAAAGUUCUGUAUAAUAUGAAUUUCUUUCUAUUAAAAUACCAUUUUCUGUUUUCUUUAUUAUUGUGACUAUUAUAAUUUUCUAACUAUAAUGAUUCUUAUUGUAUAUAUCGUCUAAUAUUUACCAGAGUUAGAUAAAAUCUAAUAAACAUUGCCAAUCAAGUGAUUUUACAUUCUCAUUUCAAUCUCACUCGAAUUCGAGUUACUAAACACAGUUCACAGAGGUAAGAAAAGGGGAAGUAGAGUAUAAAAGAACGUGGUUUCGAUAGGAUACGUUGGUAGACGAUCGUCGCGAAAAACCGGUGGUUGGGAAAUGAGUUAAACGAAGUUGGUCGCUGAGCGUAGAGAAGCGAAAAGCGGAGCGAGUUGCGGUACCAGUGACAGAGUUACGUUGUCGUGUGUAACGAAGUAGAUUAGUCAGUGUGACAGAAGACCGUAAUUUCCUAGGCAAAUGACAUCGAUCGUGAACCUGACGCGUCGCGCUUCCACGAAACCUGCUGCGUGUUGUCUGUGGCUUUCGUGAAACAUUCGAUACACCAUGUCAUAUUGGUCUAAAAAAAAAAAGAAAAAAAAAAUAAGAAA